UUAACAUCAUCAUUCAUUUCUGAACUCUAUGCAUAUAUAAGCACUUCACUUCACAGAGCAAAGACACAAUCUGAGGCAUGGGUUCAACAGGUGAGACUCAGAUUACUCCAACCCAUGUAUCUGAUGAAGAGGCAAACCUUUUCGCCAUGCAACUAGCCAGUGCCUCAGUACUCCCUAUGGUUCUCAAAUCAGCUCUUGAGCUUGAUCUGUUGGAAAUCAUAGCCAAGGCUGGCCCUGGUGUUCACCUUUCCCCCUCCGACAUUGCUUCUCGGCUCCCAACACACAACCCUGAUGCACCCGUUAUGUUGGACCGUAUAUUGCGCCUCUUGGCUUGCUACAAUAUCCUCUCUUUUUCUCUUCGCACUCUCCCUCAUGGCAAGGUUGAGAGGCUCUAUGGUCUCGCCCCUGUUGCUAAGUACUUGGUCAGGAACGAAGAUGGUGUCUCCAUUGCUGCUCUCAACCUCAUGAACCAGGACAAAAUCCUCAUGGAAAGCUGGUAUCUCACUUUUUCUCACUCUUUGUCUUUAUCUUUUCCAUGAACUGAAUUCCAUAUUCUAAAAUUUGCCGAUUGUCAUCUUUUUUUAUUUUAGGAAGAUUACAUUUAGUAGGCAUGCCUAUGUUUUAGGAAGAUUGUUUUGUUAUGGGAGCAAUAGAAGGGAAGAAAAGAAAAGGGAGAGUAAGGGUAUCAGGGAAGUUAAACCUUUUACUGAGAGUUGAAAGUUAAAAUAAAAGGAACUGUUAUUAACUUAAAUUAUGUGUAUGUAUCAAUACAUAACUAAAUUAAUUAAAAUGCAUAAUUGGUUGUAUGAUAAAUUAUUUGAUUUAAGAAUUUUGUAUCACUAUGACACGGUUGUGUUCUUGUAGGUACUAUUUGAAAGAUGCAGUCCUUGAAGGGGGUAUUCCAUUUAACAAAGCAUAUGGAAUGACAGCCUUUGAAUACCAUGGAACGGAUCCAAGGUUUAACAAGGUUUUCAACAAGGGGAUGGCUGAUCACUCUACCAUUACAAUGAAGAAAAUUCUUGAGACCUACACAGGCUUUGAGGGACUUAAAUCCCUGGUUGAUGUUGGUGGAGGAACUGGAGCUGUAGUCAACAUGAUUGUCUCAAAGUAUCCCACUAUUAAGGGCAUUAAUUUUGAUUUGCCCCAUGUCAUUGAAGAUGCCCCAUCUUAUCCAGGUAUCUUAAAUUGAAUCAUCAUCAUGUCAAAUUUAGAGGUCCUGCUUAUAUUAGAUCACUUACCAUUGUCAAUUAGUCAUAAGUUGUUAUAUGUUGGUUAAUAUUGUUUGACUAAUGGUUACCUAACAUCAAAAUUGGCAUUGAUAUUUUUUAUUAGGAGUGGAACAUGUUGGUGGAGAUAUGUUUGUCAGUGUUCCAAAAGCUGAUGCUAUUUUUAUGAAGGUGAAUUUUAAAAUCUGAAUCCAUUCCAUUGUCUUACCAACUCUAGAAAUUAAAGGCCUUUCAAGGUUUUCUUUUCUCAAUCAAGUUUUGAGCCGUUACUUUUUGGUACCACAAAAUCAUGUUUCACUUGUUUAUGUUAAUGACUUGUGAUAUCAUUUACACAUUCAGUGGAUUUGCCACGAUUGGAGUGAUGAGCACUGCUUGAAGUUUUUGAAGAACUGCUAUGAGGCACUACCAGAUAAUGGGAAAGUGAUUGUGGCGGAAUGCAUUCUUCCGGUGGCUCCAGACUCUAGCUUGGCCACAAAGGGUGUGGUUCACAUCGAUGUGAUCAUGUUGGCUCACAAUCCAGGUGGGAAAGAGAGAACAGAGAAAGAGUUUGAGGCUCUGGCCAAAGGCUCUGGAUUCCAAGGUUUCCAAGUCCUGUGCUGUGCUUUCAAUACCUACGUCAUGGAAUUUCUCAAAAAGGUUUAAGUUCUUUGGCGUGGAUUCAUAUCAAGUUGCAUUUGGAUUUUGACUUUGAGACUCUGCUUGGGGUGCUACUUACGAAUGUUUUCCCGGAAAAACGUAAAUUUCUUCUAAUGCUUUAUGAAAAGAAUAACGAACAAGUUCAAUGUAUACCGCCUUUAUAAAAUAAUAACAAGUUUCAUAUUGUGGUUCUGGUUCAUAUAUAGUUCUAGCUACGCGUUCUCUUAAGUGCCAACCCUUAUAGGAGAAAUUUGUUGUUGUUUUUCCAUUCUAUUUCUAGCCAUCCAAACAACAUGUUUUUUUACUCUAUUUUCCUCUAUUUAUAUGGUUCAUAUUUAUGUCCCAUUUAUAUCACUCCUAAUUCAAACACAAAAUUAAGAUGUCAUCCAUGUACAGUGCCAUGAUCAAAAUUUCACCGAUUAAUUAUUAAGCAUCAUAGCAUCGACAUCCUUCCACCAAUUGCACAUAUAUUGUACUACUCUGUCAAUCCACCAAUAUAUUGUUAGUGACGCCCAUCCUCAACCUCAGCUUCCUUUGUGUUGCAUCCAGACAAGCCCGUGAGUAAUCAAGUCAAUAGGAAAGUGAAUAAUUAAACUCAUUUCUUACGGUGAUUCAUUUCCAAUAUUGAAGUUUAAUCUUUUUCCAAUAGUCCAUCCAAAUCCCUCUUUAUUGUUGAAAACAUAGGUGAAUUAAUUUAUAUUUCCUCAAAUUGUCCACACAAUAGAAUACCACACCACUUGGAAUCUAGUUACAUUUGAUGCAUCACAAUUAAUAAUUCCUCUAAAUUAAAAAUAAUAAAAAUGCACUUUGUUGAGUGAUAAUUAUAAAAUAUGAACUAAUUUGAUAAUCAAUUUUAGCUAAUAAAUGGGUGUAAUUUAUAUACUUUAUUAUUAUUUUUAAGGAAAUCAUGAAAAAAUUAACAUCUUUGUAAUUUUUUAUUAACAGAAUUCAAAAGAAAAAAAUUUCAAGUGCUUUAUAGCGUCCCACUCAGGCUUAACACGUAACUUAGACUUAACGUGCGAAAAGGCACACAACGAACCUUAAAGUGCGCUUAGCGUGAAAGCUCGCGUUAAGCGCGAAGUCAGCGUGAAAAAGUAAAUUAAGUAUAUAUAAAGAGGAGGAAGUAGAAGGAAAAAAGACACUGAGUAUCAAGACUAUCCAAAGCCUCGGGCCUCUUCCCUAGGGGAAAUCCUUUUUCUUAUUCAUUCCCCUUUUUCUUGACUUGUUCUAUUAGUCUUUUUAACCGUAAAGUCUCUCAUCAUGAGAGACUAAACUCUCUCAAUUGGAGCCGAGUAGCCAAAGUCCCUUAUAAUAUAACUGUUAUUCUUAUUUAUUAAUGUAAUUUUAAUUUCUAUUAUUAUUUUCUUUGAGAUAAAAUAAUUAUGAGUCAGUGUCCCACCACCAAAACUCAAACACUAUCUCCAAACCUUUUUAAAAAUACUUGUAUUAUUAUACAAGCUACUUCCUUAUUACAUCCUAUUCCUAUACCCAUAUUGACAUUGUUUGGUAUAAUUCUUCCACAUGCUAAAUUCGACAAGGUCGAUAUCCGGUUUGGAGACAAUUUCAAACAAAAGAUUGUACCUUUGUGGAGACUCCUUUCAAACAUAAAAAUAGAAUCAGGUGAAAAAUAAAUCAUUAUAACCUUAUAUGUCUUCUCUUAAUAUUUGAUGCAUAAGCAUAACAAAAAGACAUAAACUAUUCAAGUACAAUCUCGAUUGACGUAUGUACGAACGAUCUUUGUGGGGCCAUGGUGGGGUGGUUGGGGGCAGGAAACAAGGAUAGAUGGGUGGGCCAUUAAAUCAUUGCUAAAUAUCUAUGCAUAUAUAACCAGUUCACUUGGCACCUUUGUGGUCACAAGCUCACAGAGCAAAAACAUUCAUUCCAAUAUACAAAAUCUUGAAUCAUGGGUUCAUUAGGUGAGACUCAGAUUACUCCAACCCACGUAUCUGAUGAAGAGGCAAACCUUUUCGCCAUGCAACUAGCCAGUGCCUCAGUACUCCCUAUGGUUCUCAAAUCAGAUCUUGAGCUUGAUCUGUUGGAAAUCAUAGCCUAGGCUGGCCCUGGUGUUCACCUUUCCCCCUCCGACAUUGCUUCUCGGCUCCCAACACACAACCCUGAUGCACCCGUUUUGUUGGACCGCAUAUUGCGCCUCUUGGCUUGCUAUAAUAUCCUCUCUUUUUCUCUUCGCACUCUCCCUCAUGGCAAGGUUGAGAGAGAGAGACUCUAUGGUCUUGCCCCUGUUGCUAAGUACUUGGUCAGGAACGAAGAUGCUGUCUCCAUUGCUGCUCUCAACCUCAUGAACCAGGACAAAGUCCUCAUGGAAAGCUGGU
Molecule: long non-coding RNA, 4192 nt
Filed under: Glycine max (soybean)
Lineage: Eukaryota; Viridiplantae; Streptophyta; Magnoliopsida; Fabales; Fabaceae
Description: long non-coding RNA (GMAX_LNC000901)
Source: RNAcentral